UGUAGAAACGGCCCGGGGCUCAACCUCGGAAUAGCAUUUGAAACUGGCAGACUAGAGUACUAGUAGAGGGGGGGUAGGAAUUUCAGGUGUAGCGGUCGAAAUGCGUAGAGAUCUGAAGGAAUACCGGUGGCGAAGGCGGCCCCCUGGACAGAUACUGACACGUUCCAGAUGCGAAAGCGUCGGGGAGCAAACAGGAUUACGAUACCCUGGUAG
RNAcentral lists this ribosomal RNA (213 nucleotides) under uncultured bacterium. RNAcentral describes it as "partial 16S ribosomal RNA". It matches the Rfam family "Bacterial small subunit ribosomal RNA", at positions 593 to 793 of the family's 1533-position model. The record is from RNAcentral.